Molecule: ribosomal RNA, 784 nt
Filed under: Streptomyces sp. D119
Lineage: Bacteria; Bacillati; Actinomycetota; Actinomycetes; Kitasatosporales; Streptomycetaceae
Description: bacterial SSU rRNA
Rfam family: Bacterial small subunit ribosomal RNA
Source: RNAcentral
GGCGCGUGCUUACACAUGCAAGUCGAACGAUGAACCGCUUUCGGGCGGGGAUUAGUGGCGAACGGGUGAGUAACACGUGGGCAAUCUGCCCUGCACUCUGGGACAAGCCCUGGAAACGGGGUCUAAUACCGGAUAUGACCGUCUGCCGCAUGGUGGAUGGUGUAAAGCUCCGGCGGUGCAGGAUGAGCCCGCGGCCUAUCAGCUUGUUGGUGAGGUAGUGGCUCACCAAGGCGACGACGGGUAGCCGGCCUGAGAGGGCGACCGGCCACACUGGGACUGAGACACGGCCCAGACUCCUACGGGAGGCAGCAGUGGGGAAUAUUGCACAAUGGGCGAAAGCCUGAUGCAGCGACGCCGCGUGAGGGAUGACGGCCUUCGGGUUGUAAACCUCUUUCAGCAGGGAAGAAGCGAAAGUGACGGUACCUGCAGAAGAAGCGCCGGCUAACUACGUGCCAGCAGCCGCGGUAAUACGUAGGGCGCAAGCGUUGUCCGGAAUUAUUGGGCGUAAAGAGCUCGUAGGCGGCUUGUCACGUCGGUUGUGAAAGCCCGGGGCUUAACCCCGGGUCUGCAGUCGAUACGGGCAGGCUAGAGUUCGGUAGGGGAGAUCGGAAUUCCUGGUGUAGCGGUGAAAUGCGCAGAUAUCAGGAGGAACACCGGUGGCGAAGGCGGAUCUCUGGGCCGAUACUGACGCUGAGGAGCGAAAGCGUGGGGAGCGAACAGGAUUAGAUACCCUGGUAGUCCACGCCGUAAACGGUGGGCACUAGGUGUGGGCAACAUUCCACGU